CCCACCCCUCAAUCCCCACCAACCACCGCCCUCUCCACCAUCGUCGAGCACCUCCAUCAGCCACCCACCCGCUGGCGCCAACCCUGACGACCCAGGCGCACCCGAGACCCGGCGCCCCCAUCCAUCUACCUCCUCACUGCGUCGCGCCGCCGCGCCACCAAAGCGCUACCCGGCGAUGGAUCCAAGCCGGCAACCGCCCCAGCGUGCCUCCUGGCGGCGGAUCCGGGCCGGCAACUAUUCCCCUCCUCCCCCACGACUGGUUUCCUCUCCUUUGUGUCAAGAUCGACGGUGAGCUCACCGGCGCCUGCUCUCUGCCGACCUCCCCUUCCUCAUCUCCCUGCGAGGUUCCCAGCCACCCCGCCUCAGAUGCUUGCGUUGUUGUUGUUUAUUAUGUAGGUGUUCAGUGUAGAAGCCGGACGACGUGAUGCUGCUGUUACCGAUCUGCUGCAGCAUCUCUUGUUCGACUCCGAGAUCACUGGCGAUGAACACAAUCAGUUGUAGCGCAUGGCAUGGCGUUGGUGGGGAGAUACAAAGGGAAGAUGAUAAGGGAAGAUGAUAGGGGAUUACUCGAUAAGUAUGCGGAGGUGCUGUAAAGUUUCCUCCUUUAUGUAUAGUUAUUUGAUUAUCCAUCUAAAUAUCAUCCCAUGUAUAUGUAUGAAACUCAUUUUGUGCUGCU
This 676-nucleotide ribosomal RNA is filed under the name Triticum aestivum (bread wheat). RNAcentral describes it as "partial small subunit ribosomal RNA". The record is from RNAcentral. Lineage: Eukaryota; Viridiplantae; Streptophyta; Magnoliopsida; Poales; Poaceae.